RNAcentral lists this ribosomal RNA (443 nucleotides) under uncultured bacterium. RNAcentral describes it as "partial 16S ribosomal RNA". It matches the Rfam family "Bacterial small subunit ribosomal RNA", at positions 338 to 795 of the family's 1533-position model. The record is from RNAcentral.
CCUACGGGAGGCAGCAGUGGGGAAUAUUGGGCAAUGGGCGCAAGACUGAACCAGCAACGCCGCGUGAAGGAAGAAGGCUCACGGGUUGUAAACUUCUUUUAUCAAGGGCACAGCAAGUGACGGUACCUGAUGAAUAAGCCACGGCUAACUACGUGCCAGGAGCCGCGGUAAUACGUAGGUUGCAAGCGUUAUGCGGAUUUACUGGGUGUAAAGGGCGUGUAGGCGGGAAAGCAAGUCAGAUGUGAAAACCAUGGGCUCAACCUGUGGCCCGGCUUUGAAACUGGUUGUCUUGAGUACGGGAGAGGCAGACGGAAUGCGUAGUGUAGCGGUGAAAUGCGUAGAUAUUAGGAGGAACACCAGUGGCGAAGGCGGUCUGCUGGAUAGAAACUGACGCUGAGGCGCGAAAGCGUGGGGAGCGAACAGGAUUAGAUACCCGAGUAGUC